Molecule: ribosomal RNA, 496 nt
Filed under: uncultured bacterium
Lineage: Bacteria
Description: partial 16S ribosomal RNA
Rfam family: Bacterial small subunit ribosomal RNA
Source: RNAcentral
GAUGAACGCUGGCGGCGUGCCUAAUACAUGCAAGUCGAGCGAACAGACGAGGAGCUUGCUCCUCUGACGUUAGCGGCGGACGGGUGAGUAACACGUGGAUAACCUACCUAUAAGACUGGGAUAACUUCGGGAAACCGGAGCUAAUACCGGAUAAUAUAUUGAACCGCAUGGUUCAAUAGUGAAAGACGGUUUUGCUGUCACUUAUAGAUGGAUCCGCGCCGCAUUAGCUAGUUGGUAAGGUAACGGCUUACCAAGGCAACGAUGCGUAGCCGACCUGGGAGGGUGCUCGGCCACACUGGAACUGAGACACGGUCCAGACUCCUACGGGAGGCAGCAGUAGGGAAUCUUCCGAAAUGGGCGAAAGCCUGACGGAGCAACGCCGCGUGAGUGAUGAAGGUCUUCGGAUCGUAAAACUCUGUUAUUAGGGAAGAACAAAUGUGUAAGUAACUAUGCACGUCUUGACGGUACCUAAUCAGAAAGCCACGGCUAACUACGU